AACGAACGCUGGCGGCGCGCCUAAUACAUGCAAGUCGAGCGAGAAGACGUAGCAAUACGUUUGUAAAGCGGCGAACGGGUGAGGAACACAUGGGUAACCUACCCUAGAGUGGGGAAUAACUAGCCGAAAGGUUAGCUAAUACCGCGUACGCUCCUUGGACUUCGGUACAGGGAGGAAAGCGAUACCGUGGGUAUCGCGCUCUUGGAUGGGCUCAUGUCCUAUCAGCUUGUUGGUGAGGAACGGCUCACCAAGGCUUCGACGGUAGCUGGUCUGAGAGGACGAUCAGCCACACUGGCACUGCGACACGGGCCAGACUCCUACGGGAGGCAGCAGUGGGGAAUUUUGGGCAAUGGGCGAAAGCCUGACCCAGCAACGCCGCGUGAGGGAGGAAAUCCUUCGGGAUGUAAACCCUCACAAGCAAGGGAAGAGAGCUCAGGGCCGAAUAAGCUUUGAGUCCGACGGUACCUUGCGUAAGCCACGGCUAACUACGUGCCAGCCGCCGCGGUAAC
This 509-nucleotide ribosomal RNA is filed under the name uncultured bacterium. RNAcentral's name for it is "bacterial SSU rRNA". It matches the Rfam family "Bacterial small subunit ribosomal RNA", at positions 29 to 524 of the family's 1533-position model. The record is from RNAcentral.